Molecule: ribosomal RNA, 205 nt
Filed under: uncultured bacterium
Lineage: Bacteria
Description: partial 16S ribosomal RNA
Rfam family: Bacterial small subunit ribosomal RNA
Source: RNAcentral
AGUGUAGGCGGUCAAGCAAGUCAGAGGUGAAAGGCAUCGGCUCAACCGAUGUAAGCCUUUGAAACUGUUUGACUUGAGUGCAGGAGAGGUAAGUGGAAUUCCUAGUGUAGCGGUGAAAUGCGUAGAUAUUAGGAGGAACACCAGUGGCGAAGGCGACUUACUGGACUGUAACUGACGCUGAGGCUCGAAAGCGUGGGAGCGAACA